AGCUCCAAUAGCGUAUAUUAAAGUUGUUGCGGUUAAAAAGCUCGUAGUUGGAUUUCUGUUAGGGACGACCGGUCCGCACUAUGUGCGUGUAUCUGGUUCGGCCUUGGCAUCCUCCUGGGGAACGGUGCUGCGCUUGAUUGCGUGGUCCGGUAUUCAGGACUUUUACUUUGAGGAAAUUAGAGUGUUUACGGCAGGCAAUCGCCUUGAAUACAUUAGCAUGGCAUAAUAAAAUAGGACCUCGGGUCUAUUUUGUUGGUUUCUAGAUCUGAGGUAAUGAUUAAUAGGGAUAAUUGGGGGCACUCGUAUUAACACGUCAGAGGUGAAAUUCUUGGAUUGUGUUACGACGAACUACUGCGAAAGCAUUUGCCAAGGAUGUUUUCA
RNAcentral lists this ribosomal RNA (381 nucleotides) under uncultured eukaryote. RNAcentral's name for it is "SSU rRNA". It matches the Rfam family "Eukaryotic small subunit ribosomal RNA", at positions 587 to 972 of the family's 1831-position model. The record is from RNAcentral.